This is a long non-coding RNA of Falco peregrinus (peregrine falcon), 716 nucleotides long. RefSeq lists it as uncharacterized. NCBI's taxonomy places the organism in Eukaryota, Metazoa, Chordata, Aves, Falconiformes, Falconidae. The record is from RefSeq and is a predicted model, not a curated record. The transcript has 3 exons.
CUCGCAUCUGUGUGUUUAGGAGACUUCCUCACUGUUUCAGGAAGCAGCAAUUAUUACUGUUGUGGGAACAACCUCAACAGUUUGGCAGAAAAGCUGGAAGAGAGAACUUUCAGAAACCGCAGAUUUUUUUAAAUAGAUGUUUCUGCCUAUACAGAUGGUACAAACUUGCAUACAUCAAGAUCAAGGUGUCUAAGUCAGCAGUAUUGCAUCAGUGGAAAAGGAAUAACCUGAGAAGCUCAGUCAUCUGUUCCUGAUUUGGUCAAGCCAGUCUUCUGAUACGUAUACUCACUUUCCUGAGUCCUGGCAUGGACAACUCUUUACUCCUUAAGAACAACAUUUUCUGAGUCAGUCAGCUCUCUGGAGCUCCUUUGCCCUUCAGUGCUGCCUUCUACAGGAUGCCACCUACCAGCUCCCUGAAUAAGCCAAAGUCUGCUCUUCUGAAGCCCAGGGUCUCUCCCCUGUUCUUUUCUUACCUCACCCCCCAUCAGGAACGAGAGACAAGGCUGCAAUAGAUCCCACCAACAAACUACAUCAUCUCAGAUCAUAGCAUGCAAAGGCCUGAGGUACUCGGUCCUACAACACACGUAGUGGAAAUCACUCCUGUAAAGCUGAAGACCCAGGACUCUGAAUGCUUGCAGAGGAAAGUUCACUGUGCAGCAGAAAAUGUGUUUAUUUUGUUUUCCUUCCUAAAAAAUUUAAUAAAUGGCAAAGGUUGU